GCAGCAGCCGCGGUAAUACAGAGGGUGCGAGCGUUAAUCGGAUUUACUGGGCGUAAAGCGUGCGUAGGCGGCUAAUUGAGUCGGAUGUGAAAUCCCCGAGCUUAACUUGGGAAUUGCAUUCGAUACUGGUUAGCUAGAGUGUGGGAGAGGAUGGUAGAAUUCCAGGUGUAGCGGUGAAAUGCGUAGAGAUCUGGAGGAAUACCGAUGGCGAAGGCAGCCAUCUGGCCUAACACUGACGCUGAGGUACGAAAGCAUGGGGAGCAAACAGGAUUAGAUAACCCAGUAGUCCCUGUCUCUUAUAU
This 302-nucleotide ribosomal RNA is filed under the name uncultured bacterium. RNAcentral describes it as "partial 16S ribosomal RNA". It matches the Rfam family "Bacterial small subunit ribosomal RNA", at positions 508 to 809 of the family's 1533-position model. The record is from RNAcentral.